GAAGAAAGGUUUAUAUGUAGAAAGGUAUAUGUAUUUAGAGAGAGAGAGAGACUUGCAGAUUUCUUUUUGGGAAGAAAGGUAAAAGAACAAAAUGACAAGGCAGAGAUGAAACAGAGAUUAGGAGGUGUUUGGGUGUAACAGUUGGAAGGAGGGUGUUAAGGGUGUUAUGGUCAUUUAAUAUAAUAUUUUGUGUCAUGUGACAAGCACGCAUGUCGUCGGAUGGGACAAAUUGCAAUAAAAAUGUACAGUCCAGGAGAUUUCUUGGAAUUUUUAUGGUUCAAGGUUUCUUGCAAAUAGUUUUGUUUUUUUUUUUUUUUUGGGCAUACCCUAUUCUGAAUUCGAAGAUCGAAGAAGAAGAAAUGUAUGCGAUAUUCAGUUGGAAAUUCGAAGAUUGAAGAAGAAGAAAUGUAUGCGACAUUCAGUUGGAAGGAAAAACCACCACUCACACUCUUCUCCAACUCGCAUCCGCCAAUCGAUUCUAGGGUUUCAAGAGAGGCACAAAUGGGAUGGAAGUUCCGACGAAUACGAUCACAUUCGCGCCGUUGUGAAUUGCCCUCGGUGUUCCAAGCUAACGAACGUCCUCUUCUCGAACCGUCCGUUGUCGAUCACUGGUGGAGACUGGUAUAUACCAAGCCCUCAAUCUCUGACCUAAUUGCAGGACCGCCUUCUAUUUCAGGCCGUUCAAGUUGGUUCCGUUGCAGGGGAGUUUCGUAGAGAUUGGUAGGGUUAAAGGGAAGGAGAAAGAUGGAAAUGUUUGCACAGAUGGUGACGAAAAUAGGAAAGUAGGAGCCAAGAUUAGGGAGAAAUUGAGGAUAGGGAUACGGUGGAGGAUUUCCCCGGCGAGUCCAAUUGGGACUGACAUGCAGACACCGGUGGCAUGAUGAUGUGGUGCGGACGGGGAGUGGUGGGUCGGGUGGUAGUGGUGAUGGCUGUUCUAGAGAGAGAAAUGGUUGGGUGGGUCGAAUACGGGGAAGGACUUCUCUACUCCAAAGGGCAAGGGACUCGAUGAGUUCGUCAUUGGGCAGGAAAGAGGAACUUCAUAAGUGGUGAAUUUUUAACAAGAACAAGGAUUGAUGGGUUUGAGGAAUGCAAAUUUUAAUUUAAUCUUUUUAAAUCAUACUCUAGAUUUUGAUUGAAAUUGUGUCAUUUCUGCAAUGGAGAGAAUUGCAUGCUGUUUAUUGAUAUGCAUUUCUACAAUGAACCAGGGGUAUUCCAAGAUUAUUAUUCCUUAUGUCUUUAUUUGUGGUUCUGGAAUUUUCAUUAAAAAAUGUGCAAAUGGAGUUUAGUUUGUUAUUGAAUUACUUGUGCAUUACUUAAGAGUUACAGAACUUUUGGUUGAAACAAUUUGCUUUCCAUGGCAGGUGUUUUUUGUGGCAGUUUACAACCACUACAAAAGAAUACAUCAUGCUGCCUUGCAUAAAGAUUGAUUGAGUUCCCAACAGUGUUUCAGCCAAUUCAAUUUAGUUGCAGUUGUUAUUAGAAGUAACCAAAAUGGCAAAACCAAUGCAACAAUUUGUUUUGUUUUUGUUUUUUGUGUUCAAUAUAAAAUAUAAACCUUUUUAUUAGAAAUAUAAAUGAGGUACCGAAUAGUUGCUACUAUGUUCUUUAUUUAUGUACAUUACUUGUUACACAUUUCAUUUCCAAGAACGUGAUAUUUUUGCAUGAUAUCUUCUAACUAAAAAAUACUGUGUAAGUUCAACCAUGUUUAUGAAGCAUGGUAUGAUAACGAUACACAGUAUGAAAAAUGCAAGAAAAAGACUUUUAAUUGAACAUUUGAAAUUUGUGGUUCAUACUAAUAACACUCUUUUUUGUUCCUUAGUCCAUUGUGUAUUCAAAGUGAUUGAUGUACGCGGUUGUGAUUAUCACUGUUGAUUUCAAUACCAGGUCAGGUGCUGAAUUUUGCAAGGCUGAUGUUGAAAAUGAUGAUAAUGAUUUUGUUGAGCUAGAGAAGAGCAAUGUGUUACUGAUGGGUCCAACAGGCUCAGGUCCUCACGGAGCCCAAAAAUGCUCUUGGUAAAUAGUACAAGAAAAUGUUCAGCAUGAACAAUAUGAAGUGGCCUUCUUUGUGGUAAAAUGUUCUAUAAUGUGGCUUGUCAAUUUACAUUUCUCGGAUAAUGCACUGAGGUUAAUUGCAAAGAAAGCAAUGUUAAGAACACUGGUGCCCAAGGUUUAAGAACCAUAUUAGAAAAUAUACUUACAGAAGCCAUGUUUGAGAUUCCUGAUGCCAAAACAGGACAAAAUAACCAUAGAUGCAGUUCUGGUUGAUGAAGAGGCUGUAGGAUCGGUGGACAGACCGUGAUGUGGAACAAAAAUUCUCAGUGGAGAUGAUAUAUCUGACCCGCCUUUCCACUUAAGAAAUUUUAAAGAUCCCAUGGAAAAAGGCAUGGCUGCUGGUGGGGCGUUAGAAGAAGACUUAGAGCUCUCAUCAAGAGCCGUUUGCUUGUGACCUUAGUUUUUUGGGCAUUUGUAAAGUCUUGUAAUAAUAUUUAUUAUAGUUGUGAAAUAACCAAGUCUAUUUGGGAUAGUGUUUUUGAAAA
Cornus florida is the source of this 2537-nucleotide long non-coding RNA. RefSeq lists it as uncharacterized. The transcript is spliced from 5 exons. Lineage: Eukaryota; Viridiplantae; Streptophyta; Magnoliopsida; Cornales; Cornaceae. The record is from RefSeq and is a predicted model, not a curated record.